Molecule: long non-coding RNA, 226 nt
Filed under: Elaeis guineensis (African oil palm)
Lineage: Eukaryota; Viridiplantae; Streptophyta; Magnoliopsida; Arecales; Arecaceae
Description: long non-coding RNA (EGUI_LNC007762)
Source: RNAcentral
AUAGGCAUAUCAAACGACUUCUCGUAUACCAAUGAGAGAAUCAUCAUUCAAUUUAGCCUAUGGAGCAGAAGUAAUGAUUUCACUUGAGAUCAGAUUACCUUCAAUAAGGGUUGAGCAAUACAGUGAGCUGAGCAAUUUCGAAUGUCGGAGAGUUGAUCUAGAUCUUUUUCCUAAAGUCUGACAGCAAGCUUAACUUCAGAUGGCAGUCUAUUAGCAGAAGGUAGCC